UGGGGAAUAUUGGACAAUGGGGGGAACCCUGAUCCAGCCAUGCCGCGUGUGUGAAGAAGGCCUUAUGGUUGUAAAGCACUUUAAGCGAGGAGGAGGGUACUGGUAUUAAUACUACCAGGUACUGGACGUUACUCGCAGAAUAAGCACCGGCUAACUCUGUGCCAGCAGCCGCGGUAAUACAGAGGGUGCGAGCGUUAAUCGGAUUUACUGGGCGUAAAGCGUGCGUAGGCGGCUAAUUGAGUCGGAUGUGAAAUCCCCGAGCUUAACUUGGGAAUUGCAUUUGAGACUGGUUAGCUAGAGUGUGGGAGAGGAUGGUAGAAUUCCAGGUGUAGCGGUGAAAUGCGUAGAGAUCUGGAGGAAUACCGAUGGCGAAGGCAGCCAUCUGGCCUAACACUGACGCUGAGGUACGAAAGCAUGGGGAGCAAACAGG
This 430-nucleotide ribosomal RNA is filed under the name Pseudomonadota bacterium. Its description in RNAcentral is "Proteobacteria bacterium partial 16S ribosomal RNA". It matches the Rfam family "Bacterial small subunit ribosomal RNA", at positions 355 to 776 of the family's 1533-position model. Lineage: Bacteria; Pseudomonadati; Pseudomonadota. The record is from RNAcentral.